Non-coding RNA from Vicia faba (fava bean), 234 nucleotides. Lineage: Eukaryota; Viridiplantae; Streptophyta; Magnoliopsida; Fabales; Fabaceae. The record is from the annotation of a GenBank genome assembly.
AUGACAGUUUCCUUAUCUUCUCUCACAUCUUCCCUCUAUUCACUUUCCUUUUCUUCCAAUGUCUUUCGCAAACCAACCAUUCUUUCUCUCCCCAGAACCUUCUCCCUCUAUCACUCUUCUAAACUCCCCUCCCUAACCGUAUCCACAACAUCACUCGCUCCUCCCGUCGAAUCAGAAACUGCUGACCUUAAGACGUACGUUAAAUCAAUACUUUCUGGUGGAUUCGCCGCUUAA